GGGGAUUUAGCUCAGUGGUAGAGCGCUUGCCUAGCAAGCGCAAGGCGCAAGGCCCUGGGUUCAGUCCCCA
Rattus norvegicus (Norway rat) is the source of this 70-nucleotide non-coding RNA. Lineage: Eukaryota; Metazoa; Chordata; Mammalia; Rodentia; Muridae. The record is from Rfam.